Molecule: ribosomal RNA, 1486 nt
Filed under: uncultured bacterium
Lineage: Bacteria
Description: bacterial SSU rRNA
Rfam family: Bacterial small subunit ribosomal RNA
Source: RNAcentral
GAUCCAAUCUGCCGACGUCUCAACGCCUUCGGGCCGCGAGACUGACGCAGUGCGGUGACGCAGCGGACCGGAUUCACACUCGGAGUGGCGAACGGGUGAGUAACGCGUGAAUAAUCUACCCCGGGGUGGGAGAUAACCUUACGAAAGUUUGGCUAAUCUUCCAUGUCCGUUAUUCCGCGCAAGUGGAAUAAUGAAAGGCCCUUUUGGGUCGCCCUGGGAUGAGUUCGCGUCCCAUUAGCUUGUUGGUGAGGUAAAUGCUCACCAAGGUGACGAUGGGUAGCUGGUCUAAGAAGAUGAUCAGUCACACUGGGACUGAGACACGGCCCAGACUCCUACGGGAGGCUGCAGUGGGGAAUCUUGCACAAUGAGCGCAAGCUUGAUGCAGCGACGCCGCGUGGGGGACUUGAAGGGCCUCGGGUUGUAAACCCCUACCAGCAGAGAGGAAGAAGGACAUCAGGUAAUGGGUGUCCGGUGACGUUAUCUGCUGUAUUAGCUCCGGCUAACUACGUGCCAGCAGCCGCGGUAAUACGUAGGGAGCAAGCGUUAUCCGGAAUCACUGGGUGUAAAGGGUGUGCAGGCGGGCUCGCAAGUCUGAUGUGAAAUCCCCGGGGGCUUACCUGGGAUUGCAUCGGAAACUGUGGGUCUUGAGGACCGGAGAAGAAGGCAGAAUUCGUGGUGUAGCGGUGAAAUGCGUAGAUAUCACGAGGAAUACCCGUGGCGAAAGCGGCCUUCUGGACGGUUCCUGACGCUCAGGCACGAAAGCGUGGGUAGCCAACGGGAUUAGAUACCCCGGUAGUCCACGCCUUAAACACUGGGCACUAGGUGUUGGCGAUACAACUCGUCAGUGCCGUAGUUAACGCAUUAAGUGCCCCACCUGGGAAUUACGUCCGCAAGGAUGAAACUCAAAGGAAUUGACGGGGGCCCGCACAAGCGGUGGAGCACGUGGUUUAAUUAGAUGAAAAGCUCCGAACCUUACCAGGCCUUGACAUGCAAGUAGUAGGCUGGCUGAAAGGCCGGACGACCCCUGUUUAUCAGGGGAGCUUGCACAGGUGCUGCAUGGUUGUCGUCAGCUCGUGCCGUGAGGUGUUGGGUUAAGUCCCGCAACGAGCGAAACCCCUGCCCUUAGUUGCCAGCAUUAAGUUGGGGACUCUAAGGGAACUGCCGGCGAAAAGCCGGAGGAAGGUGGGGACGACGUCAAGUCCUUAUGGCCCUUAUGGCCUGGGCUACACACGUGCUACAAUGGACGGUCCAACAGGUAGCCACACCGCGAGGUGGAGCGAAUCCUUCAACGCCGUUCAAAGUUCGGAUUGCAGUCUGCAACUCGACUGCAUGAAGUCGGAAUCGCUAGUAAUCGUGGAUCAGCAAUGCCACGGUGAAUACGUUCUCGGGCCUUGUACACACCGCCCGUCACACCACAAAAGUCGGCAACACCCAAAGUCGGUGACCCGCGAGGGAGCCGCCUAAGGUGGGGCCGGUGAUUGGGGUG